Molecule: long non-coding RNA, 1543 nt
Filed under: Lathyrus oleraceus (garden pea)
Lineage: Eukaryota; Viridiplantae; Streptophyta; Magnoliopsida; Fabales; Fabaceae
Description: Pisum sativum (pea) long non-coding RNA (PSAT_LNC018914)
Source: RNAcentral
AACAACCUUCUAAAUGGAGAACUUAAAUGUCGUUUCGCCUGAACCUAUAUUUCAUGAGGGAGUCGAAAUAUUUGGAGUUGUGGUCACCUUCUUUUAGUCAUUUGCUUUUGUAUUUUUGUUUGAGGAUAACUUCUCGGAACCAAAGAUUCUACCAGAUAAGGGAUUGGGCUUCAAACCUUUGCUCAAUAAUAACAUGACUAAUAAGAUCUACUUCCACUGAAAUAAUAUGGUUCAGCCUAUUUAAUUCAUCGAUGGCCUUCUCUAAAUCUAAAUUCACAAUACCAAAUACCUUUAUGUUCCAAACUUUUGAUUCAACUUUCAACAGUUUGAGCUUUUCUUUAAAGAUAUACAUUUUCUUCCCAUUUACUUGGAUAUAUUUCCAAGAGUUUUCUACCAUCUGAAGAAAGUAGGGAUGAUCAAGCCAUGAAGAAAAGAAUUUGAAUGAAGUAGGCCUUCAAUUAUAUUUGUUUGAUUUGAUUGAAAUGUGAUAGUGGUCUGAAAUAAAUCGAUCACCCACAAAUUUCCCCUUAAGCCCCCAUUUGUUUAUCAGAACAUCUGAAACUAAAAAUCGAUCUAACCUACUCAUGGAAGAUCCUAAAGAAUUGAUCCAAGUGAAUUUAUUAUCAAUAGCGGGAAGAUUGACUAAAUCCAAGUCAUGAAUAAAACUGCCAAGUUAAGCCAUUUAUGAUGAAUUAAGAAAUCUACUACUUCCUUUUAUUUUACCAUUAGACUUGGUCGAAUUGAAGUCGCCUCCCAAAAUCUAGACACCAACUAGAAAUGAACCUUUUAAAUUAAGAAAAUCCAGCCACAACUUCCCUUUUCCCUUAUAUGAAAAGAAGAGAAAAUGAUGACAAUAUAAAUCAAGAAAUAUAAAUCAAGAGGGAAUUCCAUUUGAAUUGAAUUUAGAUAUAACCCUUCUCUGCAAAACUGAACAAGACUUCGAUUGCCCUGUUUACUUUUUUGCAGACCAAGACACUUCAUGUUUCCCCAAAAGGAAUGAAGCUGAGAAACAGUCAUAACUUUCUGUUUGGUUUCAUAAAUUAAACAGAAAUAAACUCCACUUGAAGAAAUUAAAUUAAUAACAACUUUCCUCUUAGUUGAAUUUCCAUAGCCUCUAACAUUAAGGUAUAUAACAUUCCUUUUAAACCCUUAGAAUUUGCAUCCUUCUCUCUGAACUUCACUUUGUCUUUAAUCUCUAGCCGCCUAAUUCUUCAAUAUAAACCUCAUAAACAUCAUUGCCCCUAAUUCCGAGAUCAACAACUCGAAUCCAUAUUUUUGAAGCAACUAAGGAAUCCUCCUUUGUCCGAAAUCUAUUAUUUCCUUGCAUAACGUCUCCAUAUCAAAUAGAGUCACAACAUAACACAAAAUCACUAGAGUGUUUAGAGGAAGAAUCCGACGAAGGAGGUUGAUCUAGUUUAGAGCAUGAGGUUGAAGAAAUAUUUAGAGAUUUUCGGUUUCGCUGCGGGAUGAGGGAUGGGAAGUAUGAAAGUUCAACAAAGGAUUUGGUAAAAGGGGGAUGAAAGAAUUUUUUAUUAAAUAGAAG